AGUAACACGUGGGAAACCUGCCCAGAAGCGUGGGGAUAACACCUGGAAACAGAUGCUAAUACCGCAUAACAACUUGGACCGCAUGUCCGAGUUUGAAAGAUGACUUCGGCUAUCACUUUUGGAUGGUCCCGCGGCGUAUUAGCUAGAUGGUGGGGUAACGGCUCACCAUGGCAAUGAUACGUAGCCGACCUGAGAGGGUAAUCGGCCACAUUGGGACUGAGACACGGCCCAA
This 232-nucleotide ribosomal RNA is filed under the name uncultured Lactobacillaceae bacterium. RNAcentral describes it as "partial 16S ribosomal RNA". It matches the Rfam family "Bacterial small subunit ribosomal RNA", at positions 109 to 334 of the family's 1533-position model. Lineage: Bacteria; Bacillati; Bacillota; Bacilli; Lactobacillales; Lactobacillaceae. The record is from RNAcentral.